This is a non-coding RNA of Acanthoscelides obtectus, 70 nucleotides long. Lineage: Eukaryota; Metazoa; Arthropoda; Insecta; Coleoptera; Chrysomelidae. The record is from the annotation of a GenBank genome assembly.
GCCUCUUGCUCAGUGGCAGAGCGCUUGUGUUGUAAACCAGAGGUCGUGGAUUCAAUUCUCACAGGAGGCA